Molecule: ribosomal RNA, 500 nt
Filed under: uncultured bacterium
Lineage: Bacteria
Description: partial 16S ribosomal RNA
Rfam family: Bacterial small subunit ribosomal RNA
Source: RNAcentral
AUUGAACGCUGGCGGCAUGCCUUACACAUGCAAGUCGAACGGCAGCACGGGAGCAAUCCUGGUGGCGAGUGGCGAACGGGUGAGUAAUGUAUCGGAACGUGCCCAGUCGUGGGGGAUAACGCAGCGAAAGCUGUGCUAAUACCGCAUACGAUCUAUGGAUGAAAGCGGGGGAUCGCAAGACCUCGCGCGAUUGGAGCGGCCGAUAUCAGAUUAGGUAGUUGGUGGGGUAAAGGCCCACCAAGCCGACGAUCUGUAGCUGGUCUGAGAGGACGACCAGCCACACUGGGACUGAGACACGGCCCAGACUCCUACGGGAGGCAGCAGUGGGGAAUUUUGGACAAUGGGCGCAAGCCUGACCCAGCAAUGCCGCGUGCAGGAUGAAGGCCUUCGGGUUGUAAACUGCUUUUGUACGGAGCGAAACGGCUUCCACUAAUACUGGGGGCUAAUGACGGUACCGUAAGAAUAAGCACCGGCUAACUACGUGCCAGCAGCCGCCGUAA